Molecule: long non-coding RNA, 584 nt
Organism: Dendroctonus ponderosae (mountain pine beetle)
Lineage: Eukaryota; Metazoa; Arthropoda; Insecta; Coleoptera; Curculionidae
Exons: 2
Source: RefSeq, a predicted model, not a curated record
GACGCCCAGUGUCAAGGAAUGGAUUAGAGGCUACCCAGAAUUCAAAUAUCAAAGUGGUAAAUUAUUUUAUCGCGCUUGCAGUAAAAUGAUUCAGUGUGACAAAAAAGAACAUAAUUCAACAUGUAAAAACUAGUUUGCAUAAAGCAGUAUUUAAAAGACUAAAUAAUAAACCGAAGCAGACAACGAUUGCUGAAAGUCAUCUUCUGGAUAUAGAGCCCAGAAAGAGUUUAAUAUGCAGAGUCAUAGUCCAAUCUAAUAUACCCUUGAAUAAAUUGAAGAAUGUGGGGUUCAAAACAUUUUUGGAAAAAUACUCUAGGAUUGACGUACCAGACGAAAGCACACUUCGCAAAAAUUAUAUACAAUGGGUGUAUAAUGAAGCUAUUAAGCAAAUAAGAGAAGGAAUUGAAAGCAAUUACAUUUGGUUUGCAGUUGAUGAAACAACGGACGUUUGUGGCCGAUACAUAGCAAAUUUAAUUGUAGGACUGAUGCAUGAAGAAGAACCGAGACAAGGAUAUCUCGUUUGUUCGCAAGAAUUGGAAGCAACAAACAAUAACACUGUUUCUAGAUUUAUCCAUGAAUCAUUA